RNAcentral lists this ribosomal RNA (253 nucleotides) under uncultured bacterium. RNAcentral describes it as "partial 16S ribosomal RNA". It matches the Rfam family "Bacterial small subunit ribosomal RNA", at positions 524 to 776 of the family's 1533-position model. The record is from RNAcentral.
UACAGAGGUCUCAAGCGUUGUUCGGAUUCAUUGGGCGUAAAGGGUGCGUAGGUGGCGGGGUAAGUCAGGUGUGAAAUUUCGGAGCUUAACUCCGAAACUGCAUUUGAUACUGCCUUGCUUGAGGACUGGAGAGGAGACUGGAAUUCACGGUGUAGCAGUGAAAUGCGUAGAGAUCGUGAGGAAGACCAGUGGCGAAGGCGGGUCUCUGGACAGGUCCUGACACUGAGGCACGAAGGCCAGGGGAGCAAACGGG